UUUAUUCCACUGAUGAAGCGUUGUUGCCACAGUAUUCCUGCUCAGUACGAGAGGAACCGCAGAUUCAGACAUUUGGUUCAUGUGCUUGGCUGAUAAGCCAAUGGUGCGAAGCUACCAUCUGAGGGAUUAUGACUGAACGCCUCUAAGUCAGAAUCCCGCCUGGAAAGCGACGAUGCAUUCGUGCCUCGGCCUCGAGAGGCGUAGCUAGACGGCCGCGUGGCCGUGGAAAGAGCCCGAUUCCGACCCGAGAGGCCGCGGCAAGAGGCGGCCUCGAAGUCGGUGGAUCCUCCUGCUCGAAAGGCGGGGUGCUAAACCAUUCGCAGACGACCUAGUUGAAGAUCGGGGUGUCGUGAUCACUAGAGCAGUACAUCUCACUGCGAUUUGUUGAGAGUAAGCCUCAAGAUCUGUCGGUUUGU
Ciona savignyi (Pacific transparent sea squirt) is the source of this 416-nucleotide non-coding RNA. The record is from Rfam. Lineage: Eukaryota; Metazoa; Chordata; Ascidiacea; Phlebobranchia; Cionidae.